Stylophora pistillata is the source of this 952-nucleotide long non-coding RNA. The record is from RefSeq and is a predicted model, not a curated record. Lineage: Eukaryota; Metazoa; Cnidaria; Anthozoa; Scleractinia; Pocilloporidae.
GGGCAUGGAGUGACAGGAUGCUUUGGUAACGGAUCAUUACAAACAAAGUUGUGCAAAUAUACUUCGGUCCUCAGUUCCUACGUUUGUCCUAAAUCUGAUUACUGCCUUCCCAGUCCACGUUUUGCCAGUGGAAAAAAGAAGGUUGCUCGGAUUAUCAUGAUGUACCAUGUAAUUUUACCUCCAUAGCUACACAAAAUCUGGCCAAAACUAAAAUGGAUCCAGAAACUUUGGUGGUUAGUUUCGACCCAGCAACCGCAAAUAGCUUGGGCGAUAUCGACAAAGAAAUCGUGCAGCUGGCUUUGAAACAAGCGGAGAAAACUUUGCAAGAACUUGGCGUAAGAGUAUCGCAAGGAUACAAACUUGGAUAUGAACUGGGUUAUAUCAAAGGAGUACUAGAACACGUUCUGAAGACAGUACCAGAGUCGGAGGAUAAGGAGGCUUACAUGAAUGGGUACGUGAAUGGUUAUCUGCAAGGAAUGCUUCAUUCUUUCAAGCAAGGAGAACUUCAGCGAGGAUAUUCUGACAAUAAUCGUCAUUAAUUAGAAACCAUGUAGAGAUUUCUAGAAAUCACCUUUGACUGUUUUCAAAAACAGAAUAUUAAUCCUUAAACGUCUAAGUUUUUGAAUUUUUCUAUGGAGAACUGCAAUAGUGUGCACAUUACACGCUCAGUGCUGGUUUUCAAAGCAACUGAUGUCGAGAAGAGUUUAACAAAAGUUAGUUCGUGGUGUCAGGAAUGAACCGUCGUGAGAAGUGUUGGACAGUCGUUAUUUAAACGCUGAGACUCGGCCAAUUAUAGUUCAGAAGAUCAUACACAAACAACUUUUAUAGUUCUGGAGCAGACUGACGUUUGACACCAUUUCACUUAAGGAAACUCAUUAUUUUAUCUUAAUUGCACUUUUAAAAAGUGUACUAUAACAUAUACUGUUAAUGAUACAUCUCUAUCUCGCCUUUA